AAAUUAAGGAUUUUAGUGAAAGUCUAAAUUUAUAAAAUUUAAUUUAGAAAAUUUUC
RNAcentral lists this transfer RNA (56 nucleotides) under Cancer pagurus (edible crab). RNAcentral's name for it is "tRNA-Tyr". Lineage: Eukaryota; Metazoa; Arthropoda; Malacostraca; Decapoda; Cancridae. The record is from RNAcentral.